Long non-coding RNA from Balaenoptera acutorostrata (minke whale), 2085 nucleotides. RefSeq lists it as uncharacterized. The record is from RefSeq and is a predicted model, not a curated record. NCBI's taxonomy places the organism in Eukaryota, Metazoa, Chordata, Mammalia, Artiodactyla, Balaenopteridae. The transcript has 3 exons.
CUGAUCUGCUUCUAGUCGGCGAAUAACUGGAAUUAACGGAGCAGGUUUAGUGUGCACGUGAGAUACUCAGGACCUUUCCACCCGUCCCACCCGACGGCGGGGACAGUCACACAGUCACGUGCCGGGUGGGUCCCAGGGGGUCGCACUUCGCUGGAGCUGGUCCCGAGCCGCUGGCAGUGAAGUGAUGGGGAAAGCGCGGGACCGGAAGGAGGGACGCGGGGCUCCAGGACUUCAGCACUUUCAGGCUAAUACUGGAUGCACACGAAAUCACAUGUUGGGCAAAUAUAUAGAUUUCAUAAUGACAAAAAAAAAGAAGAAGAAAAGAAAAGAAGGAAUCAUGAGUCACCCGCGGAGGAUGCCAGGGAACUGUGAAAUAAUAAGAAAUAUGUCUUUGGUGUCUACACUGGCUUCCUGGCACAGAGCUCCUCAAACACUUGGAAUUUCUUGAGUGAUCCGGAAUGAAUGAGAGUUUAGAAGACCAAAUAUUUCAAACCAACCAGUGAAGCCCUUUGGUGCAGUUUUGACUCCAAAGCAGCCAGACUGUCUCCUGGUCUCCCAGGGCCAUACGCCACGGGGUCACUUUUCAAAUUAAGGUGAAGUCCAAGUGGAGGUGGAAAGGCAAGGUGUGAGGUCCUUCGACGGCAUCCCUGGUAGGUAACCAUCCACUCUCUAUAAACACCUCCAAUGGCAGGAAAUCUCAGCCACAUUUUAUGAAGCUUCACUGUCGUCUCACCAGGAACCAGUCUGCCCCAUUUCCCAGGACAGCACUUCAAGUCUUAGAGACGGUGUUCUCCUCCCCACCCCGAGUCAGUGAUUCCUACCUGGAGUCUAGGGAAAGUGAGGGGACAGCCAUCCUGUUGGACAAUAUCAGCUUCUUGGAGCAGCCUAGGCUAGGAGUUGGGGGCUUUUCCUGUGAUGCCGUGAUGCUCUGUUGAGGUGAAAAAUUUAUUUCAGUGGUUAGAAAGCAAGAACAUAUGCUAAAAUCUUUAAAAACGGUUUUAUUUUAUUUUAUUUUUUAAAGAGUUUUUGGUUUUGACGUCGUGGACCAUUUUUAAAGUCUUUAUUGAAUUUGUUACAAUAUUGCUUCUGUUUUAUGUUUUGGUUUUUUGGCCACAAGGCAUGCGGGAGCUUAGCUCCCCCAGUGCAGGGGGUGUGGGAUCGAACCCACAGCCCCCGCGUUGGAAGGCGAAGUCUUAACCACUGGACCACCAGGGAAGUCCCUAAAAAUGGUUUUAAAACCACUCUCUUAAGUUUUCUCUUCCCCAGGGUAAACAUUGCUUGCUCUUUGAAAUAUUGGUAAUACAGGUUUACAUAUUUUUUAAAAUAUAAUAAAUAAUGAAGUAUAAAUUAUAUAUAAUAAAUUACAUGUAUAUUAUAUUAAAAUAUGUGUGUAUAUUAUUAGAAAAGAGUAGCCUAACCCACACUCACUUUUAGGACAAGACCUAGCAACUGUACACAUCACUUGUACUCACAUCUCAUUGGCUGGAGCGUUGCCACGUGGCUGCACCUGCUGUCAGGGAGCUGGGAGAGGUAGUGUGUGUCUGGGGACCCAGGUGCCGGGGUAAAACUUUCCCUACUCUGGAAGGAGGGAAGAAGGCAGCGUGGGGGGCUCUUGGCAUCUCUGCCACGAUAACUCUAAAUAGAAGCUAUGCGACCACGUAGCAUAAUGACAGCGUGUCCUGGUUUUGUCACCAGGCCAGCGGUGAGGCUGCGUGAGGAUCACGGGAGUGGAGACACACAGAACGGAGCCAGUAUUCAGUUCAGGAGUCACAGGAUUUAGUGCACAUGAUGAGCACACAGCACAGCUUAGUAAGAGGAGGGAAAACAGAGAAAGGGUACCGACCUCCCCAAGGAGAAGUCCGGAAGGAGGCGGCUCAGCACCAGCAGGGUCCCUGGUUGGUGAUGGUUUCAGGACACCUGUGAGCGGGACUCGCCCUUGGCUGGGACAGGACCUCGGGCAGCGCCUGGACGUUCAGCAGUGUCAGGUCGGGUCCUCCAGCCGAGAGCCUUCGGUGUCUGACUCUGGGGGGUCUGCCUGGAGGUAGGCAGGUGCUGCCCCAGGGCCUCUCAUCUCCAGCAGUUACU